Molecule: long non-coding RNA, 1349 nt
Organism: Manis pentadactyla (Chinese pangolin)
Lineage: Eukaryota; Metazoa; Chordata; Mammalia; Pholidota; Manidae
Exons: 3
Source: RefSeq, a predicted model, not a curated record
CUUCUCCUUCUCCACCCCUCCUCCGCCAGCCCGGAGGGAGGAGGGUCUAAUUCGAUUGCAGGUCGGCGUGGGGGUGGGGAUUUCCUGGGCCCGCGCUUUAGUUUCCAGCCCUGCAGCUGGGGCAGGUGAUGGCAUCCCGUGUGCCAGCGGCUGGGCUUCGGGGCGGCGGGCACCCAAGGACCCUAGCAAGGUCCAGCCGCCGCCACUGCCUUCCAGAAGCCUAUGGAAAUCCGGCUUCUUUUGUGCGCGAGUUUGUGAAGGGCUUGGGGGUGCGAGAACCCCUCUGCUGAGUGCUGCCCUAAGGGGGGCUUCAGUGGAUGCCGCUCCUGCCCCCUCACGUUUUCCGUCCUGUGGCCCAGAGCCCACGUGUCUUCGGUUCCUGAGCGAGGAGUCCCAAGACCCAGAAGCUGGAGGCGGCAGCCACGACUCGGCAGCAGCAGCUCAGAAGUGGGAGCCGGACCGGGCCUUCUGCCGAAACUCAGGACAAGGCCAACCCUUCCCCGGAUUACCCAAGAGAUUAGGAUAUAACGCAGACCCUUGAUUUUCCGGGGAAAGUCGAGUAGCUGCUCUCCUUGUCAACAGCGUUCCCUCCUCGGCGCUCCAAAAGGAGGCUAUUGUGUAUUUAGGUGCGGCGCUGCGGGCCCCUCCUCGGAGCAUAGAGCAGAUCAGGGAGUCCCCGCGUUCACAGGCGCCCAGCUGUCCGUGGUGCGGGCUGGCUGGGUGAGAGCUGGUACAGACCCGGAGGGGAUGGGUGGAAACCCGAGGGAGGAAGGGAAUCUCGGUGAAGACCCGUCCGCCCCUGGGGGCGCCCAAGGCGCCCGGGAGUGGGGCCGCUGCACAGCAGUCCUUACCACUAUCCCACACACACCUACCUGCCCCAUCCAUUCCACACUUCCGCAUGUGUGCACAGGCACACACUACUCGCUCUGUCUCUCUCAACGUUCAGGCUGGAUGACCCGUGAGUCCACACAGGAGGGCAGUGGCGCUUCACGUCUACACUUUUACUCCGUUGUUCCCGCCAGAUCUCUUGGCUACAGACCAGCUGCUGUCCCGAGAUCUCACCCUCGUGUUUGCCUCAGUCCAGGGAAACGCAGGAUUGCCCAGAUUCACCCGCCUGUUCCCAGGUAGCCACACGGCCACCUCUAACUGCACAACGACUUGGAGGUGGGGUCCACAAUUUCACAGGAAAACGCUGAGGGGCCUCGGGCGCGGCCUCUCACCAGUUCACCUGCUGUCAAGGGGAAGACCAGCUCCUGAAGUUCGCACAUUUGUUCAGGAGCCCGGCCCACGAGCUUACACACACACAGUCGUACCCUUGAACUCGGUUUUCAUAUCCACAGAUUUCGACU